GCACCUGCGACAUGAACGAUAUAACUUUAUUUGGCAGCGCUGGGUAGCUAUAUUUUCAAUCAUCAAAUUGUAUGGGGUUUUUUUUUCUAAAAAGACUGCAGUUGGUUUAUUUUCAUUUCAUCAACUGAGCACUGCGAAGGCUAGCUAUGAGCUGCUGGCACCUGAAUCGGGGAGGACUGGCUUGUGGUAAUAAUUGAGCGGAAUCAAUUUGUGGCGUAGCGCGCCAUUCUUUUGAAAAGUGGAACGAGAAAUGCGUUCUUCUGAUUCCGUCAGGACACUUCUCCCCAACGCACCAGUACGCUCAUCAAUCGAUUCCACCAUAACAAGUGCAUCAUUAUAUGAAGUUGACCGCCAGCUCAGCUCUACCUCCACAGUCAACAGUGCUUGUUACCAGCAAGAUGGCUUCAAUACUAAAGAACCGUUAUUUGGACAGCGCAUAGAUGAUUUAUGUGAGCGCUGGUGUGCCAUCCUGAACAAAUGCUCUAUUGAUUUAAUGACAUUAAUUCUUGACCAGUUGAAACAUGAUUUUAUUGAAAUGGAUAACACGAUUGAAGACAAACGCAUAUUCUACAAAUAGCUGUUAAUGAUGAUGGCAUAUUCAAUGAACUGAUGAAAACUAACCAAGCGCUCCAGGACAAGUUGUCUACAGAAAUAAAGGAACUUAAAAUCAAGAAAUUCAACCAAGACAAAAAAGACAAGGCCGAUGGUAAAAGUCUACUUCUGGAGAAACCCUGACCAGGGAGGUCCUGUACCUCCUCUCCAUGGCAGACGCGGGAGGGACGCCGCUUACUUCGAUCCACCCUUGUCUGAUCAACGCUCUACAACCAGCGCCUCAUCGGCUUCCAGUGGUAGUUUUUUAUUCAACGAGAGACUGGACGGACGGACGGAAGGGCGGAGGAGGCCGCAGGCGGCCGCAGGCACGCGCAUCGACGAGAUGCCGCACCCGACGGCGUAAGAAGAAACGACUAUCAGAGGCAGAGGAGACCGUUCACACGGUCCCAGAACCCACGGGACUGUGUCUUUAAUUAAUCAAGCAAGAUAUUGAGCCCUGCC
This is a long non-coding RNA of Oncorhynchus tshawytscha (Chinook salmon), 1053 nucleotides long. The record is from Ensembl. Lineage: Eukaryota; Metazoa; Chordata; Actinopteri; Salmoniformes; Salmonidae.